This 112-nucleotide small RNA is filed under the name Marmota monax (woodchuck). The record is from RNAcentral. Lineage: Eukaryota; Metazoa; Chordata; Mammalia; Rodentia; Sciuridae.
AGGUGUGGUGGCAUACCUGUAGUCCCAGCUACUUGGAAGGCUGAGGCGGUCGGAUCACUUGAGUUCAUGAGUUGGAGACCAGCCUGCGCAACAUGGUUAGACCCCGCCUCAA